UUUGUGGUCGGUGUUACAGGUGGUGCAUGGUUGUCGUCAGCUCGUGUCGUGAGAUGUUGGGUUAAGUCCCGCAACGAGCGCAACCCUCGUCCUAUGUUGCCAGCGGGUCAUGCCGGGGACUCAUGGGAGACUGCCGGGGUCAACUCGGAGGAAGUGGGGAUGACGUCAAAUCAUCAUGCCCCUUAUGUCUUGGGCUUCACGCAUGCUACAAUGGCCGGUACAAAGGGCUGCGAUACCGCGAGGUGGAGCGAAUCCCAGAAAGCCGGUCUCAGUUCGGAUUGGGGUCUGCAACUCGACCCCAUGAAGUCGGAGUCGCUAGUAAUCGCAGAUCAGCAACGCUGCGGUGAAUACGUUCCCGGGCCUU
This 364-nucleotide ribosomal RNA is filed under the name uncultured Cellulomonas sp. Its description in RNAcentral is "bacterial SSU rRNA". It matches the Rfam family "Bacterial small subunit ribosomal RNA", at positions 1019 to 1382 of the family's 1533-position model. The record is from RNAcentral. Lineage: Bacteria; Bacillati; Actinomycetota; Actinomycetes; Micrococcales; Cellulomonadaceae.